UCCGCAGUAGCUCAGCGGUAGAGCAUCCGACUGUUAAUCGGACGGUCGUAGGUUCGAAUCCUACCUGCGGAGCCA
Molecule: transfer RNA, 75 nt
Filed under: Alphaproteobacteria bacterium
Lineage: Bacteria; Pseudomonadati; Pseudomonadota; Alphaproteobacteria
Also listed under: 1 other name
Description: tRNA-Asn
Rfam family: tRNA
About the family: Transfer RNA (tRNA) molecules are approximately 80 nucleotides in length. Their secondary structure includes four short double-helical elements and three loops (D, anti-codon, and T loops).
Source: RNAcentral